This 1577-nucleotide long non-coding RNA is filed under the name Sus scrofa (pig). Its description in RNAcentral is "lncRNA (ENSSSCG00065004720.1)". The record is from RNAcentral. Lineage: Eukaryota; Metazoa; Chordata; Mammalia; Artiodactyla; Suidae.
UUUUUUUUUUUUCUUUCAGUUUUUAUGGCCCUUUUUUUUUUUUUCUUUUUUUCUUUCAGUUUUUAUGGCCGCAACUGCAGCAUAUGGAAGUUCCCAGGACUGAGAUUGAUAGCGUAGAAAUUCAAUAAGUACACAUUGCCUAUCAAAUUAUAGGUUAAGCAAUGAUUCAAGAGCCUAAUUAUGGAAAAUUUAACAUGAAAUGUUUCAACCCUAAGAUAUCCUUAAAGAAGGAUAUGAAAUUCACAGAGGAAAAACAGAUAGAUAGAUAGAUAGAUAGAUAGAUAGAUAGAUAGAUAGAUAGAUAGAUAUACAGAUUAAAGGAGAUACAUGAUUUAUCUAAUCCUUUCCCAUAAAUAAACUGACUUACAAAAGUUCAGGGAAAGCAAACACCCUUUAAACUAAGCCAACUGGAAACAAAAAUCACCUUUUCAAAUGAAGAAUUAUAUGUUCAAAGUAUCAAAAUUAUUAUCUUGAAAUGAUCAAAGAGCAGAUGUGUUUUUUAUCCUUAGUCUAAUUUGACCAUUCUGUUUUCCUAAAUAUCAUCAGGUUCAUUCUUUAAAUAAUUUUUUUUUGUCCUUGAAAUAAUUUAUUUAAAAGACUAUAUGCUAAAUAUCAUGCAGUCGAACAAGGAAACACAAAGAGGCACCUUCGGCCUAAGGAAGCUUCCUGUGUGUGUGUGUGUGUGUGUGUGUGUGUGUGUGUGUGUGUGUGUGUGUGUGUAUCCAGGGCUGUGUCAAGAGUGCUACGGAGACAACAUUCAUAAAAAAAGAAACAGCAGAAAUAUCAUUUGGGUCUGUAAUGCUUUUACUUGUUUUGCUUUCUCUAUCAGUAGGGCUGCUUUCAGCUGCAUGUAAAGGAAACCCCACUGUAUUGCUUUGCUGAGGCUGCCAAAACAACAAAAUACCAGAUGAGGUGGCUUAAACAACAGAAAUUUGUUUUUCUCCAGUUCUGGAGGCUGGAAGUCCAAGAUUGAGGGUUGUCUUCUGGGAACUCUCCGUGGCCUAAAGACAGCCACCUCCUCACUGUGUCCUCACACGGCCUCCCUCUGUAGGCAGACACCCCCCCCCGCGGCCCCGCCUUCUCUCCUGUGUCCUAAUAGCUCUUCUUAUAAGGACACCAGUCCGAUUGGAUUCAGUCUAACGGCUUCAUUUUAACCUUAUUUAUCUCUUUCAAGGCCUCAUCUCCAAAUACAGUCACAUUCUGAGGGACGGAGGGGUAGAGCUUCCACCAAUAAAUUUUGGACGGACACCGUUCGUGCCAUAACACUCACCAAAGUGACUUUACCAAACAGCAGUUUAUUUUUCUCAGUUAACAGGAAAUUCAUAGGGAAGUUGAUGAGGGCCGGUGGAGCCCCUCAGGUAAGGCCCCCAGAUGCUGGGCACCUCCAUUUCCUAUUCUACCAACCUCAGUGCAUGGCUCUGUCAUAACCACAGACACGUGUGUUGUGUGGUUGCAAGUGUCCAGGUGCCAGGAAGGAAGGGAAGCAAUCAGGAAACAGCCUGAGUCUCGAUAGUCAGAACUGGGUGAGCCCUCCUGGCUGCAGGGGAGGCCAAGGAGGGGAGUGUUUUCAAGUGGGC